UUGCUGUUUACAGUUUAUCUUUAUCUAUAAUAAUAUUCAAGAUAAUGACCAAAAAACUGCAAAAUUUCCUUAAAAUUACCAAUUAAGUGGCAGCAACCCAACAAUGGUUUGUUUGAUUCAUCUGAAAAUUUCAGGGCUGAUAGAUCUUGACCUAAUGAACAUUUUUACCCCUGUCAGAUUUGCUCUAAAUGCUUUCGUUUUUGAGAUAUAAGCCAAAAACUGCAUUUGACCCCUAUGUUCUAUUUUAAGUAACAGCGGCCAUGUUUUUUGACGGAUCAAAAAUCGAAGCACACACUUUGUGCAGGAUAAUCUAAGGAACAAUCAUGCUAAGUUUCAUCCAAAUCCAUUCAGUAGUUUCAGAGGAGAAGAUUUUUUAAAGUUAGCAAAUGUGAUGAACAAAUUGUGAAAAAUUGUCAUUAAAGGACAAUAACCCCUUAAGGGGUCAAUUGACAAUUUUGGUCAUAUUAACUUAUUUGUAGAUCUUACUUUGCUGAUCAUUUUUGCUGUUUACAGUUUAUCUUUAUCUAUAAUAAUAUUCAAGAUAAUGACCAAAAACUGCAAAAUUUCCUUAAAAUUACCAAUUAAGUGGCAGCAACCCAACAAUGGUUUGUUUGAUUCAUCUGAAAAUUUCAGGGCUGAUAGAUCUUGACCUAAUGAACAUUUUUUACCCCAUGUCAGAUUUGCUCUAAAUGCUUUCGUUUUUGAGAUAUAAGCCAAAAACUGCAUUUGACCCCUAUGUUCUAUUUUAAGUAACGACGGCCAUGUUUUUUGACGGAUCAAAAAUCGAAGCACACACUUUGUGCAGGAUAAUCUAAGGAACAAUCAUGCUAAGUUUCAUUCAAAUCCAUUCAGUAGUUUCAGAGGAGAAGAUGUUUGAAAAAUUGUUAACGACGACGACGACGACGACGACGGACGCCAAGUGAUGAGAAAAGCUCACAUGGCCUUUUAGGCCAGGUGAGCUAAAAAAGUUAAAG
RNAcentral lists this long non-coding RNA (974 nucleotides) under Mytilus galloprovincialis (Mediterranean mussel). Lineage: Eukaryota; Metazoa; Mollusca; Bivalvia; Mytilida; Mytilidae. The record is from RNAcentral.